This 788-nucleotide ribosomal RNA is filed under the name uncultured Neocallimastigales. Its description in RNAcentral is "partial large subunit ribosomal RNA". It matches the Rfam family "Eukaryotic large subunit ribosomal RNA", at positions 22 to 609 of the family's 3401-position model. Lineage: Eukaryota; Fungi; Neocallimastigomycota; Neocallimastigomycetes; Neocallimastigales. The record is from RNAcentral.
CAUAGCGACUAUCGUGGCAUAUCAAUAAGCGGAGGAAAAGAAACUAACUAGGAUUCCCUCAGUAACGGCGAGUGAAGCGGGAAGAGCUCAAAUUUGAAAUCUUCAAGGUUCUACCUUGACGAAUUGUAGUUUAUAGAAGUGUUUUCUGUAGUGGAGUUUGGUAAAAGUUCUUUGGAAUAGGACAUCAUAGAGGGUGAGAAUCCCGUAUUUGGACCAUUAUUUCCUAGCGUUGUGAUACACUUUCAAGGAGUCGGAUUGUUUGGGAAGUGCAGUCCAAAAUGGGUGGUAAAUUUCAUCUAAAGCUAAAUACUGGCGAGAGACCGAUAGCGAACAAGUACCGUGAGGGAAGGAUGAAAAGAACUUUGAAAAGAGAGUUAAACAGUACGUGAAAUUGUCAAAAGGGAAGCGUUUGACACCAGUGUUGUUUUCUCGAAAAUCAAUUAAGAAUGUCUUGAUUUUGAGGUUGUAUUGACCUUAAUAGGCUUGCUGCACUUUUUUCAUGUAACUUUUUAAUGCACUUUUCGGUUAUCAAGUCAACAUCAAUUUCUUUUGUUGUAAAAAGGGUCAUUGAGGAAGGUGGCUUUCUUUUCGGAGAAAGUGUUUAUAGCCUUUGUACCUCCUGCAAUCGGAGAGACUGAGGUCUGCAGCGUAGAUCCUUCUUGGGAUUAGAUUCAUUUGUGCUAAGUUAUAGCUUUUAUAGACAACUUGUUGACUAUAGUUUAGUCUUGUAGCUUACUCGCUUAGGCUAUUUUACCUACGCUUAGGAUGUUGACGAGACUGUCGAUCUC